UAGUAUUCCUCGAAACCGGUACUGAAAGAGAAACACAAUUUAUGUAGAACCGAUAAAACAUCGGUGUAACUUCAGACAAGGUAGUCACAGAGUAGCAGUGUGGCAAUGGUUCGACAAGACCUUCACACGUGAAGUAUUUUGUGCAGAGAUGACAUGGCUGGUUUUGGUGAAUGUCCUUGGCUUGAAAUUGUAGAAAGCAUUGAAAAUAUUGAUGAUGAAAACACAUGGAGCCCUCUCCUGCAGUGAUGAGAGUUCAUGUCUCUGUGACGAGCAUUUUAGGAGUAUCAUAACUGUUCCCAGGAGACAAGAGAAUGGAGUCUGUAAAUGUUGUUUUCCUUUCCUUCCUUUUUCUUUUACUUUGCUGUAGUGGCGUAGAUGGAAGCCAUCAGCUGUGGGGGGGCGUAGCUGAUGUCCCCUUCUCUCAUCCCGAUGAGUUUUUCCCCUUUGAAGGUCGUCCUGACAUGUUACAGCAGCAUGAUUGCUAUACAUUCAUUGUCAGCGUACUGGGGAACUUUGCUAGUGACCUGCUAGGUGGACUGGUGAGAUUGAAGUAUUUUGUCCUGUGGAUGGAAUACACUGAUUCCCUGUCCGACCUUGGCAGGGACCUGUCCUACAGUUUGGAUUCUCUUCUAAGCAGAGUUGAGACGAAAGUCAAGGUGGGCUUUGCUUUAAGCAAACACCAAAAUGGCCCACAUGCUAGCGCUUGGAGAUGGCAUGAAUGUUGCAAAAGCAGGGAGAUGUUCUGUAGAAAAUGUUGCCCAGGCAACAUCAGGAGCUGUGGUUCAGCAAAGAAUGGAAGAAGCUCUAGAGCAGCAGCAGUACGUUUGAGGAGAAGAACCAACAUUGGUUGUAAAAAGACUUCCUUUUCCAAAGACGAGGAUAUUUUGUCGUCAGCUGAAAAUCCUGAACCCUUGCAUCGCCCAAAGCCAGGGAAUUUUUCUGGACCCAAUUCCUAUAGGGAGAUGUGUUAUUUGACCUAUGAUUCACCUGAAAAGCAGAUUUGUUGUGGAGGUGUGCUCUUCAAUCAUAGAAAGUCUGUCUUCCGAGAGAAUCAUGAAGACGAUGUCCUAGCGCCACAGUGUUGUCACGGUAUUGGUUCUUUGCCAGGAGCCAAAGCUAUUGGUGAACUGCAGAGUCCACCUGAGGUCGAACCCUGUGAAUGGACACAGCAAAGUAAAACUCUUCCUGCUUGUUUCAAAUAUAUUUGGGACUUAAACAAGGGCAACGCUUCUUGCUGGAUCGAUGACCUGUCUUUAGAAUAUCCUCGUCUGCUUCCCUCCUCUGAGACCGGCCAGUUGGGUUUUCACAGAUGUACAAACGACCCAGACUCUCAUCUGCAUCUUUCUUGUGGGAGAGCAAUAUGCUGUAGUAGAGAAAAACGGUUUUGUUGCACAAAGUCCAGAUGGCCUGACGAAGCGUUUUCCCCUGUGAACAGAGUAAUAAGUGAAUCUGACAAAAUCAAUUCUACUCUCCUGAUGGGAAAUAUUUUCCCAAGUAAUGGGUCUUCUAUUCCAUCUAUUGAGUUAGGAACAUGCGCUGGCAAUAUGAUAUCUUUUGUAGAUAGUCCUUCUAGGAAAGCUAGAUGCUGGCUGAAAGAGAAACAGUUUUGUGAAAUCAAGUUGAAGGGUGUCAACAGCUCGGUAUUGAUUUGUCCUGAAUCAGACCAAUUCUUUUUCGGCUUACAUGCAGGGUAUGUUUAUGUAGUUGUAGCUUCAUGCCUACAAGCAUUCCUCUGUCUGUUUGCCGCUUCUGUUUGGAUAAAAGGAAUCUUGCCUCUGGUAAUGAAUUCGCCAGUUUUGCGAAAGAACAUAUUACAUGCAUGCAAGACACUGAAUUUCAACGCUCAAUGCCUGCCCUCUGUUGAUGAAUCCAGUACAGAGUAUUUUGAUGGUUUUGUGUGUUAUGAUUACAGCUUUGAUGUGCAAAGUUUGGCUGCUAAGGAUUACCUCAAAUGCUCAAAGGGUGACUUCCUUUAUGAGGUUUUGUACAAUUCACACCGUACUACUCCUGUGGUACAAAAGGAGUAUUUUGUGAACCCAGUAUUUGCCGUCGACCGUGUAGCUUCAUUCCACCCACUGUUAAGCGACCGUUCUGAGCUCGGUGGUGACUUAAAGUUCUUCAUUCCCUUGUCAGCAGCAGGGUUCAGGUACAUUAAGGAAAGCUCUCUGGUCUCCUGCGAUGGAUGUGGUGCCAGGCAUGAAAUGAGCGAGCUCACGUCUGCACCCUCCCACCCUCGCUACCAUACCCCAGCAGGAUGCUGCUUUGCCAGCAAGGAGAGUGGUACCCUGCCGGACUUGCCGAAACGUCCCAUCACGUUGGGCCCUCUAGCCAUUUCUGCCACAGCCUCAGCAACUAAUGCAACGGACCAUAAUGAGGAUCCUCUCAUUGAUGAAGGUCUUGGGUUGGAUGACAUACAGGAAGACGGUGCUCCGUCUGCUGCACAAAGUAGUGGGCAUGCAAGUGGUGGCACCACAGGGGCUAUUCCAUCUGCUAAGCCAUUGCCAUCUUCAUCUUCGGUCUCAUCAGCUAAGACAACAUCAUUAUCAUCAACAACAUCAUCAUCAUCAUCGUCAGCAUCAUUAUCAAUGUCAGCAUCAUCACCCUCAGCCUCAGCCUCAGUUUCAGCAUCACUGACUUCAGCUUCUCAUGCAGUGGCCGGACAAGGACAUGACUAUGAGUCGCAGUUUGGUCAGACAGCGGAGAGGCAACUUCUCCAGCGCAGCCGAAGUGUGUCGAAAAGCAGCUCGGCGUCCUCGGGCUACAGCUCGGCAUCCUCGGGCUACGGCUCGGAACCUGACAUACAGGACAAAGUCUAUCAAGAUUGGGCUAACAAUAUGAUCCGACCAGAGGCUUUGGAGACGAAGAAGAUGACACACCUGGAGUGUGUGAGAGACACCAGCUGCGACAGAAAUGACCAUUUUGGCUACAUCAUGGCCCAGAAACUGCAGUUAGUACAUCUGCCUGACGCAGUGAAAAGCCUGGAGGUGAUCACUCUGCUCCGCCUCUUCUACAAGCUGGUGGUGCGCGUGGUCGUCAAGACUUCACGUGCGAGGAGCACUGGCGGUUUCAUCAUUGGUUCCGGAUAUGUUUUCUUGUGGGGGGAGAGUUCCAAUGGGGACACUGAGUCGCGGCCCCAGAAUGGAGCCUCCUCUUUCAAGUGGCUGAAGAAGCAUGUGCCCUCUGCUUUACGGAAACUUCCCGGGGAUGUAUCGAGGAUAUACAUCCAGACUCACAGGCAUGUGGUGCAAAACAACAAAGAAGCUUCUGAUACCAAAGUGGAGUUCCAGUUCUUCCAUGGAAGUCGUAAGAACGUCAUCUCCAUCUCUGGCGAAGAAGUGCUGCACAGCAAAGUACCGGGGGACGACACCUCUAUUUUGGUGUGUCGAACACGCGAUGUGCAGCUGUGUGUGAAUGUGAACAGGUGGCGACAAGAGUUUUUGGAUUAUGCUGCAAAUUUGCCGGCACAUGAUAAAGAGGCGAUGAUGAGGACUGUUCUGACCGUCUCCCACCCUCACGGUGCCCCCAUGGUUGUGUCCCAUGGUAUAGCAGACGAGAGGCUGUACACAACAGAAGAAAUGCCAGAUGGACGCUCAAGAGUCGUACAAAUUCCUGCAGAAAGAGCAUUGUCAAGCUCUGGCAUGGUGUGGAAGAUUUUGGCUUACACGGCGUGCACAUGUGAGGGAAGCAGUGGGGCUGCGAUUCUCCGCUACCAAAAGACGGGCGUGGAUGCUGGAGGCAGGGACAUUCUGGAGCUUGGAGUGUGGAUGCACAGUGGAGUCGACAAGAACGGAUGUGGGGUUUCUGUUCUCAAAGGUAUCGAAGUGCGGCGUUCUCAGGAUUUUCUUGCCUAGUUGUCCUCCUCUGAGCAUAGUCUCCGUGCGCACGAUGCACAGGAUCCCAGUAGGCUUCUCUUCCUGUAUCGGGGAACAUAAGCCGGAAGUUUUCCCCCCAUUGUCAAAACUUACGAAUUUUUUUACUCAGCUGUACCUACACCUGUGUGGUGUGUUGUGGAGAAGGCAGAGGUAGGGAAAUAACCCACAGUCAUGCUCAGAUAACUUGAACCCGAAAAAUGUGAAUUCACGAGUAGUUCAAACUAUAUGCCUUUCUCUGAGUGAACUGCUAUAAUUUCUUUAUAUCGGAAAAACUUGUUUUCUCGAACACUCACACGGAUGUGUUCUACAGAGUUGAAUUCUCGCACAUAUGAAAAGUCUGCCAAGCUUCAGAUUUCGAAAUUCUCCGUCAAAGACUGAUCAGUGAGAGGAAC
This 4264-nucleotide unclassified non-coding RNA is filed under the name Aplysia californica (California sea hare). RNAcentral describes it as "uncharacterized LOC101845623, transcript variant X4". The record is from RNAcentral. Lineage: Eukaryota; Metazoa; Mollusca; Gastropoda; Aplysiida; Aplysiidae.